UGGAAGACAACAUCUAAAAUGGCCUCUAGAACCUUUGAACUGGCUUGAACAGGCUCGUACCAAACCUGGCUUGAUCGGUUCGAACUCGGACCGGCAUUGCCAAUGUUUGGUCCGCGUUUGAAGCUUCAAACUGAACUGGUUUGAAUUUGAACUGGUUCAAAUUUGAAUAGGUUUGCACAUCCCUACCUUGUCGUGAUAGGGGAGCUGAACUCCAUGGACCAAAAAAAGUUGGACCGGGUAGCAGAAGGUCAUGGAAAAGGCUGAAAUCUCUACUGAAUUUGUGGCUCCACGCUCUUGUCAAGGACUCCACAGAUGAAAUGGAAUAUACCUUUCGAGUAGACGUACCUGUUCAGCAGAGUAAAGAGGGAGGGAGGUUCUUGACCAUCUGCCAAGACUAGAGAAUGUUGCUGGUGCCCCUCCUUCCAAAACUAUGUGCAGAACCAAAUAAAAGUCUUCCAAACCCAACAGCAAAGAACCUUUUGAGACAAUUGCUAAGAGCACCAUGAAGUUGAGUUUGUUCCUCAUCGGCUUCCUCCUCUUGUGUGUUGAACUGCAUGCUCAGGAGAGACCUGGUACCUGUCCAAAGAUUAAAUGGAAAUGUAAAAGGCUUAACCCCCCAAAUGAUUGUGAUGGAGAUAGCCAAUGUCCAGAGCCAAAAAAAUGCUGUGAAGGGCAUUGUGGAAGGAAAUGUAUUUAGAAAGAAGCAUUGCCUCUGUGUCCAUGGGAGAAGAACAGUAUCAGCAGUGGAUUGCUGUAUCUAGACUCUCACUAUCAGAUCCUGCUGGUUUGAAGGAGGGACUCUGAUGAGGUUGCCAAUAAAUUUUCAUAUACCACA
Molecule: long non-coding RNA, 835 nt
Organism: Hemicordylus capensis (graceful crag lizard)
Lineage: Eukaryota; Metazoa; Chordata; Lepidosauria; Squamata; Cordylidae
Exons: 6
Source: RefSeq, a predicted model, not a curated record